This 1562-nucleotide ribosomal RNA is filed under the name Vibrio parahaemolyticus. RNAcentral describes it as "bacterial SSU rRNA". It matches the Rfam family "Bacterial small subunit ribosomal RNA". Lineage: Bacteria; Pseudomonadati; Pseudomonadota; Gammaproteobacteria; Vibrionales; Vibrionaceae. The record is from RNAcentral.
AAAUUGAAGAGUUUGAUCAUGGCUCAGAUUGAACGCUGGCGGCAGGCCUAACACAUGCAAGUCGAGCGGAAACGAGUUAUCUGAACCUUCGGGGAACGAUAACGGCGUCGAGCGGCGGACGGGUGAGUAAUGCCUAGGAAAUUGCCCUGAUGUGGGGGAUAACCAUUGGAAACGAUGGCUAAUACCGCAUGAUGCCUACGGGCCAAAGAGGGGGACCUUCGGGCCUCUCGCGUCAGGAUAUGCCUAGGUGGGAUUAGCUAGUUGGUGAGGUAAGGGCUCACCAAGGCGACGAUCCCUAGCUGGUCUGAGAGGAUGAUCAGCCACACUGGAACUGAGACACGGUCCAGACUCCUACGGGAGGCAGCAGUGGGGAAUAUUGCACAAUGGGCGCAAGCCUGAUGCAGCCAUGCCGCGUUGUGUGAAGAAGGCCUUCGGGUUGUAAAGCACUUUCAGUCGUGAGGAAGGUAGUGUAGUUAAUAGCUGCAUUAUUUGACGUUAGCGACAGAAGAAGCACCGGCUAACUCCGUGCCAGCAGCCGCGGUAAUACGGAGGGUGCGAGCGUUAAUCGGAAUUACUGGGCGUAAAGCGCAUGCAGGUGGUUUGUUAAGUCAGAUGUGAAAGCCCGGGGCUCAACCUCGGAAUUGCAUUUGAAACUGGCAGACUAGAGUACUGUAGAGGGGGUAGAAUUUCAGGUGUAGCGGUGAAAUGCGUAGAGAUCUGAAGGAAUACCGGUGGCGAAGGCGGCCCCCUGGACAGAUACUGACACUCAGAUGCGAAAGCGUGGGGAGCAAACAGGAUUAGAUACCCUGGUAGUCCACGCCGUAAACGAUGUCUACUUGGAGGUUGUGGCCUUGAGCCGUGGCUUUCGGAGCUAACGCGUUAAGUAGACCGCCUGGGGAGUACGGUCGCAAGAUUAAAACUCAAAUGAAUUGACGGGGGCCCGCACAAGCGGUGGAGCAUGUGGUUUAAUUCGAUGCAACGCGAAGAACCUUACCUACUCUUGACAUCCAGAGAACUUUCCAGAGAUGGAUUGGUGCCUUCGGGAACUCUGAGACAGGUGCUGCAUGGCUGUCGUCAGCUCGUGUUGUGAAAUGUUGGGUUAAGUCCCGCAACGAGCGCAACCCUUAUCCUUGUUUGCCAGCGAGUAAUGUCGGGAACUCCAGGGAGACUGCCGGUGAUAAACCGGAGGAAGGUGGGGACGACGUCAAGUCAUCAUGGCCCUUACGAGUAGGGCUACACACGUGCUACAAUGGCGCAUACAGAGGGCGGCCAACUUGCGAAAGUGAGCGAAUCCCAAAAAGUGCGUCGUAGUCCGGAUUGGAGUCUGCAACUCGACUCCAUGAAGUCGGAAUCGCUAGUAAUCGUGGAUCAGAAUGCCACGGUGAAUACGUUCCCGGGCCUUGUACACACCGCCCGUCACACCAUGGGAGUGGGCUGCAAAAGAAGUAGGUAGUUUAACCUUCGGGGGGACGCUUACCACUUUGUGGUUCAUGACUGGGGUGAAGUCGUAACAAGGUAGCGCUAGGGGAACCUGGCGCUGGAUCACCUCCUUAAACGAUGAU